Anser cygnoides (Swan goose) is the source of this 1757-nucleotide long non-coding RNA. Lineage: Eukaryota; Metazoa; Chordata; Aves; Anseriformes; Anatidae. The record is from Ensembl.
UCCCCCCCCCCCCCCCGGCAGCAACAGCAAACGUGGGAGAAUUUCAUACAGGAAACAACAGGUUUGGGGUUUGUGUUUCCUUCUAACGCUGCACAGGCUUAGGAGGAAAACACCGUGAGCCCCCGUGGGCACCACUGCUCCCCUGACAGAGUAAGAGCGUGUUUUUUUUCCCAGUCAUGUUUGACAAAUGCAAUGAGAACGCUUUGCUUUCAAUCUGCUCAAGCAAGCGAUUGCUGCGGCAGUGAGAAGAUCUCUUUUGAUGGACACAGUUGAAAGAGAAAUCCUGAAGAGUGGCUUCUGAGAGAAAACUCAUUGGAGUAAGAAGAUACACCGCACACGCUAUAAAAGAAAGAGGUAUGGCAAGAGGUGCCCAGGUCUUGCUAAGGAUUGCAAAGAGCUCUUCCACUCCUGAGAAGAAAGGGAGACGUAUUUCUUCCAGGCACACAGGAACCUGCCUAGACUGGGAAAACAAAUCCUGCAGGAUACAAAUGCUGUUCCAGGCUGCUGUAUGUUAUUAUCCAAACACCAUUUCUCCCCUCAAGGCUUGUGCCAGCAGCUGUGUCUCACCAGCAUUGAUGGGGAAGCCUCUGGAAGGGGAUGGUUCGGGUCAGCAGAGUGGUUUUGCAGCCACACUGCCAAAGGAAACUCGAGUAUCAGGAAGAUGGGAGCCUCGUUUUGCAUCGUUACCCUCCGAACUCAUCCCUUACAAACCCUGCCCUCCCGCUCUGCAACAGCACAACGCAGAUGCAUGUUUGUUGCCCGCUCUCCCAUCAUUGAGACAUCAUUUAGUAUUAAGACACAGAGGACCAGGGGCCUCAGAAGCGGCGAGGGAAGAUUUACAGCGCAGUUGCUGUCAGUUGCUUUGGUCUAAUUAAGUGGCUCCUGCCUCCCUGAUGCGGCUCCAGUGCGGUGGAGCUUGACUUGCUGGGCAUGAGGGAAGCCUCCCGGCCGCUCGCUGUUACUAAUACCUCCACCCCACUGAAAUAACACUGAAAUAAGCUGUAAAAGCCUGUCAUUGAGCUCUCAUUGCUUUGUCAGUAGAUGGGUGCCUCCCUCCUUGGGUGCCUGUGCCCAGGACAGCACCAACACAACCCAUGGGGCAAGGGUGGCUGUGGGGAGCAGGAUGCGGUGCCAGAUGCUGCCCCUGUGGGGCCACCACCAACCUCAAACCUUUCCUUGGAGAUGCAGGCACUUCUCUGCCUCCUUGUCAGAGGGGGCAAUGGGGUGUUGGUGGUAGAGGAGAGCUCUGCAGGAGAAGACCGCUCUGGAGGAGAAGACCAAGGCAGCCAUGGACCCAACAGGUCUUCUCCACAUGGCCCCACCUUUCUGGGGCAGGGGCUCCCUCCCCAGUUUGCCUGGAGCCACUCUGCCUCUCUCUGUAUUUCUAACACCUGGAAACAGAACAGCUUGCAGUAAGCACUUCACACAACAAGCUCAGCCUGUUUUCUCACGUCAAAGAAAUAAGGAACAGGUCACGGUUUAAGUAAACGUGUCUAUUAGCCUCAGUUGUCUGAAUUAUUUUUGAUUACGGCUUAUUAUUUGCUUCUUGUUAACAAAUUGGCUGGUGUUAGUCAUCAGUGCACAUGCCACCUAAUUGGCUGUUUACAUCAUAUGUUGUUCUCCCUGUUCCCUCAUUGGGUAAAUUAAAUUUUAUUAAACAGCAGCCUUCUUCCUCUCUGUUUGCAGAUGAUGCAUGAACAUUUGUAGCUACUUGGCAAUUCUGUCAUGAGAUAAUAAAAGAGCUUUUCAAAAUGCCA